RNAcentral lists this unclassified non-coding RNA (230 nucleotides) under Melitaea cinxia (Glanville fritillary). RNAcentral's name for it is "misc RNA ENSMCXG00005019540.1". Lineage: Eukaryota; Metazoa; Arthropoda; Insecta; Lepidoptera; Nymphalidae. The record is from RNAcentral.
UCCCUACCCAUUCAGAGGGUUCUUUUGCUUCUCGGCUUUCGGAACGAUAGGUCGUUGUUUCAUGACGAGUGCGUUGAUCAUUUUUAUAUUCAAAGUAAUGGUUGUUUGCUUGGUUAAUUAAAAUUGUAAUUCUCGGUCAUUAUUUUCGAUUAAGUUAGUGGAUAAGGUUAAUUUUUGUGAUAAUUGUUAUAUUUGUAAAAAUGAGUAAUAAAUAGAAGUUAAGUGUGCGG